CCUACGGGAGGCAGCAGUGGGGAAUCUUGCGCAAUGGGCGAAAGCCUGACGCAGCAACGCCGCGUGCGGGAAGAAGGCUUUCGGGCUGUAAACCGCUUUCAGCAGGAACGAAAAUGACGGUACCUGCAGAAGAAGGAGCGGCCAACUAUGUGCCAGCAGCCGCGGUGAUACAUAGGCUUCAAGCGUUGUCCGGAUUUAUUGGGCGUAAAGAGUUCGUAGGCGGUCGAGUAAGUCGGGUGUGAAAAUUCUGGGCUCAACCCAGAGACGCCACCCGAUACUGCUUAACUUGAGUUCGAUAGGGGAGUGGGGAAUUCCUAGUGUAGCGGUGAAAUGCGCAGAUAUUAGGAGGAACACCGGUGGCGAAGGCGCCACUCUGGAUCGAUACUGACGCUGAGGAACGAAAGCAUGGGCAGCAAACAGGAUUAGAUACCCUGGUAGUCCAUGCCGUAAACGGUGGGCACUAGGUGUGGGAUUCUAUUAACGAAUUCCGCGCCGUCGCUAACGCAUUAAGUGCCCCGCCUGGGGAGUACGGUCGCAAGACUAAAACUCAAAUGAAUUGACGG
Molecule: ribosomal RNA, 563 nt
Filed under: uncultured bacterium
Lineage: Bacteria
Description: bacterial SSU rRNA
Rfam family: Bacterial small subunit ribosomal RNA
Source: RNAcentral